UACGGGGGGGGUAAGCGUUGUUCGGAAUUACUGGGCGUAAAGAGCUCGUAGGCGGUUUGUUGCGUCGGCUGUGAAAUCCCGAGGCUCAACCUCGGGUCUGCAGUCGAUACGAGCAAACUAGAGUGUUGCAGGGGAGACUGGAAUUCCUGGUGUAGCGGUGAAAUGCGCAGAUAUCAGGAGGAACACCGGUGGCGAAGGCGGGUCUCUGGGCAACAACUGACGCUGAGGAGCGAAAGCGUGGGGAGCGAACAGG
RNAcentral lists this ribosomal RNA (253 nucleotides) under uncultured bacterium. RNAcentral's name for it is "partial 16S ribosomal RNA". It matches the Rfam family "Bacterial small subunit ribosomal RNA", at positions 524 to 776 of the family's 1533-position model. The record is from RNAcentral.